Molecule: ribosomal RNA, 407 nt
Filed under: uncultured soil bacterium
Lineage: Bacteria
Description: bacterial SSU rRNA
Rfam family: Bacterial small subunit ribosomal RNA
Source: RNAcentral
AGAACGAACGCUGGCGGCAUGCCUAAUACAUGCAAGUCGAACGAAGGCUUCGGCCUUAGUGGCGCACGGGUGCGUAACGCGUGGGAAUCUGCCCCUUGGUUCGGAAUAACAGUUGGAAACAACUGCUAAUACCGGAUGAUGACGAAAGUCCAAAGAUUUAUCGCCAGGGGAUGAGCCCGCGUAGGAUUAGCUAGUUGGUGAGGUAAAGGCUCACCAAGGCGACGAUCCUUAGCUGGUCUGAGAGGAUGAUCAGCCACACUGGGACUGAGACACGGCCCAGACUCCUACGGGAGGCAGCAGUAGGGAAUAUUGGACAAGUGGGACGAAAGGCCUAGGAUCCAGCAAUGACCGCGUGAGUGAUGAAGGCCUUAGGGUUAGUAAAGUCUCUUUUACCCGAGAUGAUAAUG